UACAGAGGGUGCGAGCGUUAAUCGGAAUUAUUGGGCGUAAAGGGCGCGUAGGUGGCCCUGUAAGUCAAAGGUGAAAUCCCUCGGCUCAACCGAGGAAUUGCCCUUGAAACUGCAGGGCUUGAGGCCGGGAGGGGGUAGCGGAAUUCCCAGUGUAGCGGUGAAAUGCGUAGAUACUGGGAGGAACACCGGUGGCGAAGGCGGCUACCUGGACCGGUUCUGACACUGAUGCGCGAAAGCGUGGGUAGCAAACAGG
This 253-nucleotide ribosomal RNA is filed under the name uncultured bacterium. RNAcentral's name for it is "partial 16S ribosomal RNA". It matches the Rfam family "Bacterial small subunit ribosomal RNA", at positions 524 to 776 of the family's 1533-position model. The record is from RNAcentral.